RNAcentral lists this ribosomal RNA (253 nucleotides) under uncultured bacterium. RNAcentral's name for it is "partial 16S ribosomal RNA". It matches the Rfam family "Bacterial small subunit ribosomal RNA", at positions 524 to 776 of the family's 1533-position model. The record is from RNAcentral.
UACAGAGGGUGCAAGCGUUGUUCGGAAUUAUUGGGCGUAAAGGGCGCGUAGGCGGUGCGGUAAGUCUGUAGUGAAAUCUCUGGGCUCAACUCAGAGUCUGCUAUAGAAACUGCCGUGCUUGAGUGUGGGAGAGGUUUGUGGAAUUCCUGGUGUAGCGGUGAAAUGCGUUGAUAUCAGGAGGAACACCCAUGGCGAAGGCAGCAAACUGGCCGGCAUCUGACGCUGAGGCGCGAAAGCGUGGGUAGCAAACAGG